RNAcentral lists this long non-coding RNA (248 nucleotides) under Physcomitrium patens. RNAcentral's name for it is "long non-coding RNA (PPAT_LNC010861)". The record is from RNAcentral. Lineage: Eukaryota; Viridiplantae; Streptophyta; Bryopsida; Funariales; Funariaceae.
UAGAAGAUAUUACACAAUUAACCUACUUUUACAUACUUUUAUCUAUUCAUAUAGGUAAUUAUAUGUAUGUCCGUGACAUUACCCCCCCUUCUAGGGACGAGUUCCACGAAGAGCGGUGAUUAUAUAUUGAGAAAAUCUAAUAUGCGGCGAAUUGUAUUUGCUAUAUACUCUGAUCUUUGUUCUCUUCGAAGAUAGUUGAUGGGUCCUCUUAGCCAUCGAUAGUGUCCCAUUCCAAGGCGAGAAGACCA